RNAcentral lists this transfer RNA (70 nucleotides) under Ictidomys tridecemlineatus (thirteen-lined ground squirrel). Its description in RNAcentral is "Spermophilus tridecemlineatus (thirteen-lined ground squirrel) tRNA". It matches the Rfam family "tRNA". Rfam says of the family: Transfer RNA (tRNA) molecules are approximately 80 nucleotides in length. Their secondary structure includes four short double-helical elements and three loops (D, anti-codon, and T loops). The record is from Rfam by way of RNAcentral. Lineage: Eukaryota; Metazoa; Chordata; Mammalia; Rodentia; Sciuridae.
GGGGAUGUGGCUCAAGUGGUAGAGCUCUUGCCUAGCAUGCAGGAGGCACUGGGUUCAAUUCUCAACACCA